Sorex fumeus (smoky shrew) is the source of this 162-nucleotide small nuclear RNA. RefSeq annotates it as U1 spliceosomal RNA. NCBI's taxonomy places the organism in Eukaryota, Metazoa, Chordata, Mammalia, Eulipotyphla, Soricidae. The record is from RefSeq and is a predicted model, not a curated record. The transcript has a single exon.
AGACUUAUCUGGUAGAGAAGAUACCACGAUCACAAAGGUGGUUUUCCCAAGGCAAGGGUUAUCCAUUGUACUCCAGAUGUGCUGACCCCUACAAUUUCCUCAAAUAUGGGAAACUUGACUCCAUAAUUUGUGGUAGUGGGGACUGCUUUCCCACUCUCCCCU